This 23-nucleotide non-coding RNA is filed under the name Cricetulus griseus (Chinese hamster). Lineage: Eukaryota; Metazoa; Chordata; Mammalia; Rodentia; Cricetidae. The record is from RNAcentral.
ACAAGACUUAACUACUUAGAAAC